UACCAGCACCCCGAGUGGUCGGGACGAUUAUUGGGCCUAAAGCAUCCGUAGCCGGUCCUACAAGUCUUCCGUUAAAUCCACCUGCUUAACAGAUGGGCUGCGGAAGAUACUAUAGGGCUAGGAGGCGGGAGAGGCAAGCGGUACUCAGUGGGUAGGGGUAAAAUCCUCUGAUCCAUUGAAGACCACCAGUGGCGAAGGCGGCUUGCCAGAACGCGCUCGACGGUGAGGGGUGAAAGCUGGGGGAGCAAACCGG
This 253-nucleotide ribosomal RNA is filed under the name uncultured bacterium. RNAcentral's name for it is "partial 16S ribosomal RNA". It matches the Rfam family "Archaeal small subunit ribosomal RNA", at positions 474 to 727 of the family's 1478-position model. The record is from RNAcentral.